RNAcentral lists this long non-coding RNA (1027 nucleotides) under Nothobranchius furzeri (turquoise killifish). RNAcentral describes it as "lncRNA (ENSNFUG00015009874.1)". The record is from RNAcentral. Lineage: Eukaryota; Metazoa; Chordata; Actinopteri; Cyprinodontiformes; Nothobranchiidae.
CUCCUCCUGUCUUCCAGGCUGCUGAGGAGCACAGCUGAGCUGAAUCCUUCUGAUGACCCACACCUGGGAUAAAAAAGGCUGUGCCUUCAGCAGUCUGGGAGGCAGCAGUGCAGGGGUUCUGCUGUCCUCCAGGUCUCGUUUUGGUUUUAACCCCUUCGUUUUGAUGAGUUGACUUUAAUAGUUUUAACUCUGAGUGAUCCAAACGGAUCUUCGAUUGUUAAGGUUAACUUGUUUUGCUGCAAUUUGAUUGACUCCGGUUUUAAACACCUUCUGUUCGGUAAAGCUUUUAAUAUACGUUUUUACCAGGUGUUUUUAUAGUUGGUAAUUAGUGUAAUGUGAACCUUUUUGAGAGUUUUUGUUUGUUUAGCAUUGUCUUUAUAAUGCUCGCCAUCUGUUUGCUCUUGUUUUUAGAACCUUUUACAACAAUUAAAACCAUUUUAACUCCACCAUCAUAUUUCUUAUGUUAGCCCCUCCUUCGCAUUUUAACAUCUCCUUUCGGGGACGUAACAGCAUGGUUGUUUUUGUAGUUUUGCCUCCAGGUUUCGUGUUCAAAUAAAUUAAUUUGUGAGGAAUAAAUUAACCGAAUAUUGUCGUGGAAAUGUAAGAAGAAGUAAGUGUUUAAAGAUGUGGUUCACUCAUUUAAUAUAUUUAAAGAAGAAGAAGAAAAGAUCUUUUCUAUAGAGCCUCUCAAGAUAAAAAUCACGAGGCGCUUCACAAAAACAAAAAAUGUAACAUAAAAAAAGACUUAGAAAAUGAAUUAAAAUAUAUUUAAAAUGUGCAAAAAUAGACAAUUGUGAUUAAAAAAUGUAAGGAAAGAGAGAAAGUGAAUAGGAAAGAGGGAAAUCCGUGGAUUCUCAGGAAGAUGGAAUAGGUGGGGAGAGCAGAAUAAAGAGAGAGAGGUGAAGAAGGUCAUACAAAGGCCAGCUUGAACAGGUGAGUCUUCAGCUGCUUUUUAAAGGAGACCACUGAGUCCACUGAUCUCAGGCUCAGGGGGAGAGAGGUCCAGAGUCUGGGGGCCACAGCAGCA